Long non-coding RNA from Maniola jurtina (meadow brown), 103 nucleotides. RefSeq lists it as uncharacterized. The transcript has 3 exons. The record is from RefSeq and is a predicted model, not a curated record. Lineage: Eukaryota; Metazoa; Arthropoda; Insecta; Lepidoptera; Nymphalidae.
UCUCCUUUAUAAUAUUAUACAUACGAAUAAUGAGUAUUUGCCCGCAUGUAAAAUAUAGGAUCUAUUGAUGGCACCCGUAAUUAAUAUGAAUUUUGGAAACUAA